UCCUUCUCAUUGGACAGCGGGGAGUAAUUCCCUCAACCCUGCCUCCCCCGCACCUCAGGAUUGGGCGCUCCUCUAUAAACCCACCCAUCUCAGGCUCCACGAAUGGAGGGAGGAGCGAACUUCUGCGACACGGAUUGGUCUUUUGCACUGCCAAUCGUAGCCGCGCUGGCCGCGCCCAUUGGUUCUGAUCGUUCUGGAAAUUUCCACCUCUCCCAUUGGGCUGCCGGACUCCAUGUCGGAACCGCCUUCAGAAUGAGAGCGAUUCCAAUUGGGCGGAGGGUUGCCAACUCUUUGCGCUGAUUGGUUUAAAUCGCUGCCCUUCAAAAGGCCGGGUUUCGCCCCGCCCCUGAUAUAUGGGAGUACCGGCUGCAGUCGGGGUCUGUAGCUGUGUCGCCGGCGGCUGCGGGGCCUCUGGGUUGCUUUCCCUCUCGCUCCCGAGUGCCGCGAGUUCCAGGCGGUCCCCGGGAUCGCCAGCGGCACAGGGCCCCAGCCCUUCGCCCGCGCAUCGGGAUGGGGGUCCUAGCCGGUGGGAGCUGCCUGUCCCUCGAGCGCCAGCUACCCGCGUUGUCCAGCGCUCCGGCCUCGGCCCGGCCCUCCUGCCUCCUGGCUGUUAGGUUCUGAAUGUUCCGGAAAUGCCACGUGACCGCGAGGGCGCUUGGGCUUGGGCUGGACAGGCCGGGGAUCUCACCGCGGCGGGCCCGGCUGUCCCGCUUGGGCGUCCUCAGUGGAACCGCACACCCUUUCUCAGCGCGCCGGUCGUUUGGUCCUGUAGGGCCGAGGGGAAUUCGUGCGGUGUUGAGCACGCGGGAAGCACUUAACGAAAGGGAGCUGCCCCUCAGCCCUCGUGAGUCCGAUGUAAAGGAGUGAAGGAGACGAAGAACUGAAUCAGUAGUUGACCGCCUGUGAGCUGGCGAGCUGUGCCCUGGUAGGGCCUUAAAUCCCAGCCCCAGAAGUCGGAGGCAGGGCAGGCACCCCAAAGCGUGGAAGAGAUGCACCUGCGGAGUGAAAAUGCUGCUAUUGCUUCUAGGGUCAGCCUUGGUUCCUGGAACAAAGGAGCCGCAUGACUCGGGUCUGGCGAUGAUGUUGGGCUCUGCAGUGUCCUCAUCCUUCCCCCUCUCUGGGUAAUGAUAUCUUCCCAGGGUUUAAAGUGUGUCCUCUCUGCCAGUAGCUUGUCUCCACAGCCUCAUCUUUAAUUCCACCUGCCCCACCCAUUUUGGACACUGCAGCCAAGUUGCAGCAGAUCCGCAAACCUGGUAAUCCCUCACUUGAAAGUGCUGGAGGCUUUAGGAUGGGGUUCAGGGCCUGUGCAAUCUAACCGCCUGCUUUUUUUUUUUUUUUUUUUUUUUUUUUUUUGAGACGGAGUCGAAUCUCACUGUCUCCCAGGCUGGAGUGCAGUGGCGCCAUCACAGCUCAUUGCAGCCUCAACCUCCUGAGCUCAAGCCAUCCUCCCACCUCAGCCUCCCAAGUACCUGGGGUUACAGGCAAGCACCAUUACGCCUAGCUAAUUUUUCUGGGUUUUUUUUUUUUGUUUUUUUUUUUGUAUAGAUGGAUUUCGCCAUGUUGUCCAGGCUGGUCUUAAACUCUCGCUCUGUCUCCCAGGCUAGAGUGCAGUGGGGCAAUCUCGGCUCCCUGCAACCUCUGCCUCCUGGGUUCAAGCAAUUAUCCUGCCUCAGCCUACCAGUUAGCUGGGAUUACAUGUGUGCGCCACCGCGCCCGGCUAAUUUUUUUAUUUUUAGUAGAGGCGGGGUUUCACCAUGUUGACCAGGCUGGUCUCAAGACUACUGACCUCAAGUGAUCCCCCCCCCCCCCCGCCUCGGCCUCCCAAAGUGCUGGGAUUACAGACGUGAGCCACCGUGCCCAGCGGUUUUGCAUUUUCAAUUGUGGGGCACGGUGAGAAAAGACUUGAAGAAAGCAAGGGAGUGAGAUCCAUGGAAAUGUAGGGGGGAACCUUGCAGGCCUAUGGAACAGCCAGUGCAAAGGGCCUGGGGUGGGAGCUGCCUCAGGGUAGCCAGGAUGGCAGGAGGCACAGCUGCCGAGAGGAAGCAGGGGCCAGGUCCUGCAAGGUUAGAGGCCAUUGCUACUCCUGAACACAUUGGCAGGUUUUGAGCAGAGAAGUGACAUGAUUUUAGUUUUCUCAGGAUCCCUCUGGCUGCUGUGUGGAGGAAGAGGGGAGGGUGAGAGCAGGGAUACCUCUUAGGAGGCUGUGGUAGUAAUCCCAGGGAGCCAGGAUGGGAGCAGAGGAGGGGACAGGAAUUGGAUUCUGGAUGCAUUUUGGAGGGAGCAUGAAGGAAAGCGGGGUCAAAGGUUCCUCUGAGGCCUUGGCUGCCUCUCUUAUUCAUCUACAUCCAUUCUGUCAAGGACACCUUUCAUUUCUUCUUGGCACUGUCUCAAGGCCACCACGCUGCUGCCCACCUGACCAGCAGUGGCCUUUCCAGGCCUUCCAUCUUCUCCCCAGCAGCUUAUCUCUGCGUAGCCAGGUCCCAUUUCCCACACACCUUUUUUUAAAGUGUGUUGCACUGCUCUGGGUGCAGGACUGUAGCAGUGACCAGGGCAGCUCCAGAUGAAGCUUCUGCUCACAGGAACCUUUUCUACUGAAACAGAUGAUACCUAAACUCUCAGCUGUGUGACUUUAAGCAACUUGCACAACCUCUCUGUACUUCAGUUGCCUCCAUCUUCAAAUGGGGAUUAAAAAGUGUUGACAUCAUAGUGGUUGUGAGGAUUACAUGAUUUGAUAGUUUAUAAAGCACUUAGAACUUGUGAAGAAGAGUGCCUGGGGAUUGCCUAAGGUCAGGAGUUCAAGACCAGCCUGGCCAACAUGGAGAAACCUCAUCUCUGCUAAAAAUACAAAAACUAACCACGCAUGGUAGUGCACACCUCUAGUCCCAGCUACUUGGGGGGCUGAGGCAGGAGAAUCACUUGAACCUGGGAGGUGGAGAUUGCAGUGAGCCAAGAUUGCGCCACUGCACUCCAGCCUGGGCAACAGAGCAAGACUCGGUCUCCAAAGAAAAAAAAAGAACUGCCUGGCUACGGAAUAAGAACUACAUGGAGUUAUUAAAUCAAAAUCGGUGCACAAAUGAUAAUUCUUAAGAGUGAGUGCUACAGAGAACACAAAAGGCAAGGCACAGAGAGAUGACCUGGGAGGCAGGGAAGGAAAGCAUUCCCAGAGAGUCUCUUUCUGUCACCCGGUCUGGAGUGAAGUGGCGCAGUCUCAGCUCUCUGCAACCUCUGCCUCCCAGGUUCAAGCAAUUCUUCUGCCUCAGCCUCCCAAGUAGCUGGGAUUACAGUUCUGGAGGCUGCAAGCCCAGGUUCAAGGCAUCAGCAGGUGUGGUUUCCUCCGAGGCCUCUCCCCGUGGCUUGCAGAUGGCUGCCUUCUUCCUGCAUCCUCACGUGGUCCCUCCUCUGCACUCCAGCAUCCUUAAUGUCUCUUUGUGUGUCCAACUUUCCGCCCCCCCCCACCCCUUUUUUUUCUGAUGGAGUCCACCCAGACUGGAGUACAGUGGCGUGAUCUCAGCUCACUGC
This 3519-nucleotide long non-coding RNA is filed under the name Homo sapiens (human). Its description in RNAcentral is "HSALNT0363168". Lineage: Eukaryota; Metazoa; Chordata; Mammalia; Primates; Hominidae. The record is from RNAcentral.